UGUAUAUAUCACACUGUGCUGAGUUUAGUCAGAAGGCUGGUGAUGUGCAGAAAAUAAUGCAAAGAUUUCUGUGGACUUUAUCCCUUUUCCAAGUUCUGAUAUGUGUGACAAUGAAGGUCAAGGCUGAAAGUGUUUUUAUUGGAACAGAAGGAGGCAGUGUGGAUAUCUCCUGUAAAUACCCUGCUGGAUAUCAUAUACACCCAUGUACUUCUGUCGUGAUCCAUGCUCUCCUUUUGAUGUACUAAUUAAAUCUGUGAAGGCUGAUACGGUCGUCUCUAAGGAAAGAUACUCUGCAGUAAACACUCUGUCUGCACGUCGCUUCUCUGUCACCAUCAGACACCUCACAUUAAAUGACUCUGGAGUUAAUUACUGUGGAGUGGAUACAUGGGGCAAAGACAAGUUAACUAUAGUAAAGCUUACUGUCGGUGAAGUAUCGAGACAGAAUAAAAGUCCUGAAGCUACAGAGCAAUCCGAUGCCUCCACAAUGACAACAGCUACUGCAGCUCCUACUGUGUCCACUCGUGAUCCAGUGUCGAGGCAGAAUCAAAGCCCUCACAGUGAUAUCAAGUACUGCAUGUAGGACAUAAACGCAUAUUGCUGCACUCCAACUAGUAAACUCCUUAUUAUGUUUCUGUUAACCAAUUAGAAACAUCAGCAAAGGAAUAGUUGGAUAAAUAAUUAGAUGCAAAUUCAAUCAUUGUAUGGAAUAUUUAGAUCCUUUUCUUAAAAAAGAGGGAGUGCACAAGAAUUUCUUAUAAAAUGUUCAAUGUAGAUAUUUAUUUCUUAAUACUACUUCAUAUGAAAAGGUGUCACCCACAACUCAAACUAAACAUUCGUUAUCCCCAAAUGUUUUUCUUUAUUGAUCGCUCUGUUCUGUUUCUUAUUUUCCAGUAUUGACUAAUCACUUGCAUUUAAAUAAUAUUCUUAAUUGCCUGCUUAGUAAUCAAAGUGGGUUCUUGAAUAAAGAAAUUAUUAACAUUUAAAAUGCUUAACAUUACCUGUGUUGUUCUUAACUGAAAGCCUGUGUUCACUUACUGAAAAAUGCUUCUAAUGUUUCCUAAAUUGUGAGUAAAUUUUCCGGGAUUAGAUUUACAGAAAGUGACUGAACUGUGAGAAGCUCCAUGGUGAAAUGAUGUGUUCACCUUGAACAAAAGACCAGAGUUUAUUCUGGUCAGGAUCACAGCAAACUGGAACACUGGGAGCAAGGCUGGAAUACAUCCUGGAUGAGAUGCUAGUCCACACACGCGCGCACACACACACUCACACUCACUCUUGACUGCUGCCUAUAGCUUAUUCUGUCUUGCUCACAUAUUUAAACUGUUAGCUCAUAACAUUGUUCCAGUUCUCAAAACAACUAGCUGAAAGUGAGAUCAGACCUGUGGUGUGUUACGGGAACAGAAACAGAGGCCUGAUGUGUCUAAAACAUCCUGUC
Ictalurus punctatus (channel catfish) is the source of this 1432-nucleotide long non-coding RNA. The record is from Ensembl. NCBI's taxonomy places the organism in Eukaryota, Metazoa, Chordata, Actinopteri, Siluriformes, Ictaluridae.